UUUGACAAAGCGCACUGCUUAGGUAAAUGAUCUGAGUAGUUGUUCAUCACUGAGCAAUUUGUUAAUAUGUGUUUCGAGCCAAAUAAAUGACAGGGAGAGAGAGUGACGGCAGAACACGUCAUACUAUAACCUCCCGGGAGCGGACGGAGGGGGUCAGUCGUUGGGAUGCGCAUGCGCAGACAGAGUGUGCGAGCGGCGGGCCUUGACCUUUCGGGGGAAAAAACUCUUUCUCACGGACGGUGACAGCGAAACGGAUAACAGUCUUCAGUACCUGCUGGACUUUGAAGCUGUGGAUUCUGGGACUGUUGGAAAAGAGGCAGCGGCGAGAGGGGAGACCUCAGCUCAUCCAGCUGGAGAGCCUGACCAGGAGGAGUCGAACAUUAACUCAGCUCUUCCAGGGCACCCUGCAGACUCAGCUGCUGGCAACAGCGAGGGAUGACGUGAACACCAAACUGGAGUCCAUCACAGGUCAACUGCAGCUCCUUGUUUCAGAGUGGGAGGGGUUUGAAGCA
This is a non-coding RNA of Maylandia zebra (zebra mbuna), 512 nucleotides long. The record is from RefSeq and is a predicted model, not a curated record. Lineage: Eukaryota; Metazoa; Chordata; Actinopteri; Cichliformes; Cichlidae.